RNAcentral lists this unclassified non-coding RNA (321 nucleotides) under Luellia sp. RNAcentral's name for it is "partial contains 5.8S ribosomal RNA, internal transcribed spacer 2, and large subunit ribosomal RNA". The stretch from base 1 to 52 matches the Rfam family "5.8S ribosomal RNA", at positions 103 to 154 of the family's 154-position model. The record is from RNAcentral. Lineage: Eukaryota; Fungi; Basidiomycota; Agaricomycetes; Trechisporales; Hydnodontaceae. RNAcentral also lists the same sequence under 1 other name.
AACGCACCUUGCGCCCAUUGGUAUUCCGAUGGGCAUGCCUGUUUGAGUGUCUUGAAAUCAUCAAGCCCGUUCGGUUUCACCGCCGAGCGUGGGUUGGACUUGGGGGCUUGCCGCUUCGCCGCGGCUCCCCUUAAAUGCAUCGGUUUCGGGUCUCUGUGGGAGUAACCCCUUGGGCGUUGUAUAACCCUCGCUGUCUGGGAACUCCACGCGACGUCCGCGUCGUUGAAGGGCCUUGAAGAAACCUCGACCUGCUGUAGAGUGGCGGUCAUUGUUAAAUCGAAAUCUGACCUCAAAUCAGGUAGGACUACCCGCUGAACUUAA